UAAGGGGCUGCAAGGCACAUGGGAGC
Molecule: non-coding RNA, 26 nt
Filed under: Cricetulus griseus (Chinese hamster)
Lineage: Eukaryota; Metazoa; Chordata; Mammalia; Rodentia; Cricetidae
Source: RNAcentral